This 3954-nucleotide long non-coding RNA is filed under the name Capsicum annuum. RNAcentral's name for it is "long non-coding RNA (CANN_LNC013328)". The record is from RNAcentral. Lineage: Eukaryota; Viridiplantae; Streptophyta; Magnoliopsida; Solanales; Solanaceae.
AAAGACUACAAGAUCUAGCCACAAAGAAACAUGUCUCGGCCAAGAACAAGAACAACUUCUACACUUUCCUUUUUUUUUUUUUUUUUGUAUUUUUAAGCUAGCUAGCACAAGAUUGAUCUUGUGAAAACAAAAUCAAGCCAUGAUUUGAUACCAAAUGAUACAAGAUCGACAAGGAAGACACUAACACACACCAAAACAGUCCAUGAUUUGAAGAACCGAGGAUCCCUUUUGGUCUAUACAAUAACAAUACAAGCACGAUAAAAACAAGAUUCUAAGGUGUUCAACACCUAUAAUCAGCGAGCCACAAACUAAGAUUACAACACAAUAACAAGAACAAAAAUGACACAACAAGGUCUCGGGUUUGAACACCCAAAAUGGAGAAUGAACACAACAACAAUAAUAAGAUAGAAUGAUAGAUAACUUGACACACAAUGCACAAACACUAUGAACCCAAGUGUAUAUUGAACACUAAGACCCAAGAAUUCAUACAAAUAACAUCAAGUUCUUACGGUGACCUCAAGGGAACGGAAUCCCCAAGCAACCAACGUUUCAAAACAAGCAACCAACACAAGCGAUUCCACACUUGUAUGAACACUCUCAAAGAGCUCUCAAAAUAUCAUCUAAGUUAUGAGAAAAUGACCUAAUGUGUUCUAUUUAUAGCGUAGGUUACAACUUAUUACAAAAUGAUUAAAAUGCUCUUAAUGAGUCAACACUCCAAAGCUUGUUCCAUUAGUUGGCCAGUCACCCGAGCACGAGUUCUUUAUGUAUUGAUCCAUAAUCACGAUAGUACUCGUAUCAUUCUCCCCUUCUUGAAAAAGGAUUCGACCUCGAAUCCGAACCUUCAAAAUAAUAGAGGAGACAAAAGAACAUAUAUUCCUCGUGACAUGAGGGUUAAAGUUAGCAUAAUCAAAAAAAAAAUAUCAAACCACGAGUGUGCAUUCUACACAUGCCGUGGGAACUUAGGGAAUAAGAUACCCUUCUAAGCACCAAAAGAAAUACUUAUCUAUCCACCUAAGUGUGACAAGAAACAAGACAAAAAGAAAAGUGUACUCCCUUGGAACAAGGACCAUAGUGUACUCUUGGGUUCUUCAUCAUCAAGAGGUCAAAGUGGAAUCAAGAUUUCACCUUCUUCGGGCCAAGCAUCAUCAAUCCGCAAGACACAUUAACUUCCCCUUCUUCCACCACCCUCUCGGGUUCACCAUCAUCUCCAUCAUCCUCUUAAGGGGUUUCUUCACUAACAUCAAUUUUGGUUACUUUAUCCCUAACAAAAUAAGGAUCACUCUGCACUAGUACAAUGUUCAUUCGACUUGGGCACUCGCUAGCUUUGUGACCCCAACCUUGACAUUUAAAACAAAUGAUACCCUUAGGUUUAGGAGUGGAAGAAUUAGUAUCUUCAAUUCGUGGAUACCUUUGGAUUGUUUUAUCAAAUGGCUUAUUCUCUAAGGGCUUGUAGGACUUGUCCCACCUGAAGGUCUUCUUAGCAUAAUUGUUCCUUUCAACUUCAAUGGCCGCUUCUACAAGGUUCUCAAUUCGGUCAAACUUGUGGACAACUAAUUGAGAAACAAAUUCAUAGCACAAGCCACCCUUGAACCGAGCUAGGCAAUGAUUUGGAGGUUCGACUAUAUCAAUACGUAGGAUUAAGUUUUGAAACUCAUCAUAAUACUCAGCCACACUUCUAUCUCCUUGCCUCAAGUUGUGGAGUUUUGUUAGUUGCUCUUAUUUGUACCUUUCCGUGACAUAUCUCUCCCUCAUAAGAGCUUUCAAUUCAUCCCAAUUCAAAAGGUCAAGAUUGUCAUUCCUUGCCCAUUGCAACCGUUUUGUCUCCCACCAAGUAGAUGUAUAACCUUCAAAUUGAGCAAUGACAUGUGCGGCUUUAUUUUGGGAAGUUAACUCGUUGAGUUGGAAAAUCUGAUUACAUUGUAACUCCCAAUCAAGAUAGAGAGAUGGAUCACUAGUCCCUUUGAAAGAAGGAAGAGUGAUCUUAAUGGAAUUUAGGCCCGUGUCUCUACCCAUAUUGCUUCCUUGGUCCACUAGACCCUCUUGAACAUGAGGUCGGUGUCCCAAGUUGCCCCUACCAUGAGGAGCCGGUCUAAUUCUUCCCCCUCGGCCUCUAUGUCUCCCGCCAUAAGCUCUUCUUCUAUUGCGCACAAAUUUCGCAAAAAGAGUUGCUUCAUCUAACCCCUCACCUCCAUAAAGACCCCCACCUUCCACAUCAUCAAUUUGGAUUGGUUGGUUUUGGUUUAGUGGUGCUCUCGGCAUAUCAAGGGGGUCUCAGAUUUGGGAAGUUUCUUGAUGGACUUGACUUCGGUUUUUUGGAUAAGUAGGGACUUGGUGGAUGGGUUCAUGGGUUGGUCUAGGUGGAUUGAGCAAUUGGGAAAAUAUAUCCGGGGUGGUAGCAUGUCCACUAGUCGAGGCGUGGUAGUGUUUCGGACUUGAAUGUUUGGAAUCUAAACGAACUUCCAAUGUAUCCAUUCUCCUUGAAAAGGAACCCUCUAUCCUGUCCAUUCUUUCCUCCAUCCUCUCCAUUCAACCACUAAGAUCAUGUUUCACGCUCAUUAUGGCCGCCAACAAAGCAUCCAUGGUUAACUCUCUCGAGGCUCUUGAACUACCUUCACCCGAAGCCAUCAUACCUAAUAAGAAAUAGUAAACAAAAUACAAACAAUAACAAGUUAAGGUUAGCAAAAAUCAUCCUCACUAACUCUCAAGCUCACACUUUUUCAAGUAUCACUCAAUUGGUCUCACAAGUAUUGGUACUUCGUUUUUACUCCAAUGAAGUUACUUGGUCCCACUUGCGGCUUAAGGUUGGAAUGGAUUUUUGUUUGCAACGACUCAAAAUAAAUUUGUAUUUACUUGAGUCAAAAGGCUACAACGAAUUUUCGAAAAGAUAAAAGCACACAAAGAAACGUAGACACGAAUAAAUGGACCCAAAACUAAUUUACAACCUAGUAGACAAUUACUAGUUUGUUAAUUAGCAAUAGAAUCAACAAAAUGCAACUAAGAAACAAAGAUUAGAAACUAAGAAAUCAAAACAUUCGAGCUUACUUAUGUUGCGUGAACAGUAAAACGUGAUGACGUGGCAGCCACGUAAUUGGUCGUGGUCCCAUACAAUUUUUUUGUUUAAUCACCAAUUUGAAGCUUUUGUCUUGAUACAAUUUGGAUGGAUGAGUUCGUUUUUUGGUGGAAAAAUUCAAGUCUUGGAAACUUUUUCAAAUUCCAACUUAAAAAGUGAGACUUAACUUUACUAUUCCCACAAAACAAGGUCCUUGAAAUAUGAAAAAGUGGUUGACAAGUCUUUGAAGUGAUGUGUUCAAGUCUCUUCACCAACAACUUUUCAACUUUAUCUUACACCCUUUUUGGAUCUAUGUUAUACUUUAUAUUGAUUAAGAGAUGUGAAGAUGUGAAGAACAACAAGAUCUCAACAACAAUUUCUCAAGAACACCACCAACAUUCACCUCCAAGUCCACAACAAUUGCAACACACGGCCAAGAUCAAUAAUAUCAACACACGACCAACUUUCAAUUUACAUCAACAAGGUCAACAACAUAAGCUCAAACCUUUAGAUUUAGACACUUUAGUGUUGGUGAGAAAGAAACCAACACUAGAAACAAUCUAAAAAAACAAAAGAAUACAAGAUCUAGCCACAAAGAAACAUGUCUCGGCCAAGAACAAGAACAACUUCUACACUUUUUUUUUGUAUUUUUAAGCUAACUAGCCCAAGAUUAAUCUUAUGAAAACAAAAUCAAGCCAUGCUUUGAUACCAAAUGAUACAAGAUCUACAAGGAAGACACUAACACACACCAAAACAGUCCAUGAUUUGAAGAAUCGAGGACCCCUUUUGGUGACCCCUCUCGGAUUCACUACACAAUAACAAUACAAGCACGAUAACAACAAGAUUCUAAGGUAUUCAACACCUAUAAUCAGCGAGCCAAAAACUAAGAUUACAACACAAUAACA